CCAAUGAGCCAACAGGGAAGCUUUAGGUUUAUUAAAUGUUGCUAUGAAGGUAUCGCUGUUUUUCUUUGUGAAUGCAAUGUGCUCCAACUGAAACUUGAAUUAGAACUUAGAAGUAAAUCCUUCCAUCUGAAAAGAUUUAGUUGCAUUAAUAACCUCAUAACAUUCUAAUUUUUAUUCCAAUCUUGGUUGGAAAUAGAAUCUCUGUAUUGAUUCAGGUAAAAACUGAACUUCACAGCAUGUUGGAGCAAAACAACCAGAUGAAAACUGUGAUGGUGUUGGAUUGUCAGACUGUAAUGUUGCAGCUCAAAGCAGCUUUUCCAGCUCAGUUCAUUCUGACAUUCAGCUAUGAAUCAACACAGCAGAUGGUGAUUCAUGCUGUGGAAGUCUCACAUCUCCUGAUUUAAUGGAGCUGCUUUGCACUGUUUACACUGUUUAUUCACCAACACUUUAUUUAUUAAAAGCCCCAUCUAGUUUUUAUGAGGAAUGUGAUAUUUUAAUUUCUCUGUGAAUAAUUGCAGUCUAAUGGAACAGUUGGAUUUGUAAAAUCUGUCCUGAUAUUGAUCAUGAAAUAUUGAUCAGAAUACUUAUGGUUAACAGUCAUCCCUGAAGUUUUACAUUAAAAUCUUUACUUGUGUUGUGAACUUUGCUAAGAAGCAGAAAUUUAUACAUGAGUGUUAAAUUCUGUCCAUGUUUCCAUUUUGGGAAAUGCAGUCCAGCAGAUGAGUUUGUUUUUACAGACAGCUACCGUUCAGUCUGAGAUAUUAAGAAUAAACAAAUGUGCAUAAUGUGGAAAUGAACAGAUUUUAUUUUUAUUUAUUCCUACAGCUGCUGUAGGUAAAAUUCCAGAAUGUGGAGGAAUUUAGUCUCUCAAUCACAGACAAUAUUAUCUGAAAGUCGGGUUAUUGUUGUUUAUCAGCACAAUACAAAAAGAUUCAUGUUAGACAUAUUCCAGUUAAGACUCUAGAAUAUCAAGAUUUAUGUAAAUUUAUCUCAAUAAUAUAAAUGUUCAGGUUAAGAUUGUGCAAUGAUAUUUAUUAUGUAAUUUUAGCUGAUUAAAGUUUAUGGUUCUGCACUACAAUAUUAUUUAUUAUUUAAAUUGACAUCAUUAUUAUAAUAUUUAGGGUCAGACCCUACAGUAUUGAGAUUAAGAAAUCAAAUCUUCUAUAAAAUGUAAAUACACUGAACUCAUUUGGAUAUAUUUAAGUGAGACUCUACAAUAUUAUUUGACACAAAUCUAUCUAAAUCAACAUUUUGAUAAUUUUUACUCCAAACAUUUACUGGACUGAUUUAAAUAUUAAAAUCACUCCUUUCUAAUCCUCUGCUGUUUGUUCAAACCUGAGGUCUUAAAUAGAAACACGCAAGUAUCUGUUUGAAGGAACUUCUGCAGAAUCCUGGUUCCAGAACAUGAUAGAAUUAUAGACAAACUUUAACAAAAGCUGCCUGAGAGUUUACAGGUUUUUAUGUUAGAUUUCUUCAGUAAUUUAAUGAGCGUUAUCAGCAAAAAUCAAGUGUUCAUUUGAUGAACUUCAUUUCCUAAAACAUCCAGAAUUGGAGCUCAUAUCUUUGGCAGCUGUAAAGUUUCUGCUCCUUCAAAGUUCACAACACAAUGAAUUAAUUCCUAAAACACUCUCAAUGCUGGAGAGCAUUUGUGAUGCUGAAGCAGUGACCAGUUUUUCUGUUUCUUCUCUGGAGAUGCACGAGGGACGUCUGCAGAGACUGAGAAAGAGUCUCACCACAUCCUGACAUGAGGAAAAAGACUUUAUUGAAGACUACAAUGAGAAAAACUAUCCAGACAGCAGACGUCAUGCAUUCAAGACUGUAGCUGCUGAAUUCAUGGAUGAAUCAUCUGGCACUAGAAAGGAAGACCAUCAAACAUCCACAUCAGCUGAUGGAGGUCCAAGAGUCUCACCGAACAAACAACCUACAGAGUGAAGACCUCGAAUCUGAUUGGACGGCCUCCUAUUCAGCCACGUGUGAACAAAUGCCUCUAAGUUGAUUUGUUUUCUAAAAUAAAUCUAGUUUGAGUCCU
Molecule: long non-coding RNA, 2029 nt
Organism: Amphiprion ocellaris (clown anemonefish)
Lineage: Eukaryota; Metazoa; Chordata; Actinopteri; Pomacentridae
Source: Ensembl